UACGAAGGGUGCAAGCGUUACUCGGAAUUACUGGGCGUAAAGCGUGCGUAGGCGGUUUGUUAAGUCUGAUGUGAAAGCCCUGGGCUCAACCUGGGAAUGGCAUUGGAUACUGGCAACCUAGAAUGUGGUAGAGGGUGGCGGAAUUCCCGGUGUAGCAGUGAAAUGCGCAGAUAUCAGGAGGAACACCGGUGGCGAAGGCGGCAUCCUGGACCGGCAUUGACGCUGAGGCGCGAAAGCCAGGGGAGCAAACGGG
This 253-nucleotide ribosomal RNA is filed under the name uncultured bacterium. Its description in RNAcentral is "partial 16S ribosomal RNA". It matches the Rfam family "Bacterial small subunit ribosomal RNA", at positions 524 to 776 of the family's 1533-position model. The record is from RNAcentral.